AAGNGGGUCUCCUUCCCAACAGAGAAGAGAGAAAUUUUCUUGGCUCUAGAUGUAAACGGUGACACCUGCGAGGACUGUCACCAGGAACCCGUGAGUUUCCCAGGGUCAGAUGUGCCAACUUCACAGGCACAGCUUCAGAAAAGCACCCACGUGACCGAUUGUCUGCAGUGGCAGCUGGACCAGCAUCUUGACUGUGGUGACAGCAAAGCCAUUCUUGGUCUUUCUUCCCCUAACUGGGCCUUUACCACCAACCCUAAUUCUGGAAACCAAGGACCACUCUUUCUCGAGCUGGAUGCUUCCAUCAGAAUGAAGAACCCUCCCAAGCUGGAAGGUGAGGGCUCCACAGCAAGCACACAUGAGCAGCCAGUCUGUAAGAAGAUUAAAGGCUUAAGUGGCCUAAAACAGAAGAUUCUCAGAAGAAAACUGCGGUUUGGCAAGUGGAGACUAGCGUUCAGAUUCCCUGGCCUUCAGGCUUAGGGUACAGAGAUACCAAUUACUUUAGGAACUAAGAAAAGAUAUUGUCAUUUUGAGAAACCACACUAUAAAAUAUACCUUUUCCAUUUGAUGAAAAACAAUCUACAACAGCAACUCAAUUUAAACCUCAGCAACACUGGAGGGAUCCUUUCCUGAGAAUGAGCAUCCCAACCGACAACCCGCUCCACGCCCCAAGGGACAGAAUUGAUGGGAGUAAUCCCAGUCAUCAGCCUCGGAAUGUAAUCCUCAGUAAUGUGAUCAGUGCUUUGAUGGACACACAGUUUGGAAAGACCUGAACUCUUGCGUCCCUAAAUAUUCACCCUCCACACACCAGCAUGGGAACAACUGGAAGAAGACAACCUAUCAACCCGGUCAUUCUUUGCCACCAGAUGGACUGUGCUCAAAACAGACAGCAUUUACUAUGCAUUGUUCUUGCUGAAA
This is a non-coding RNA of Odocoileus virginianus texanus, 915 nucleotides long. The record is from RefSeq and is a predicted model, not a curated record. NCBI's taxonomy places the organism in Eukaryota, Metazoa, Chordata, Mammalia, Artiodactyla, Cervidae.